AGUACAGAAUGUUUAUCUGCUAUACAGAGACACAAACAUGUUUUUCUGUUCAAGGUUCAUCUGCACAUCUUCAAAGACCCUGAAACAAAGCCUGUUUGAACUGCCUCAAACCGCUUCUUAUCGGUACACAGAAGUGUGUCAUGCUCUGCGUUUCAUAUAUAUAGUAGUUGUAACCCAGGGGUAAAACUUGGAUAUAAAUAGAUUAAAUAAAUAAAUAAGUCCUGAGUGAAUAUUAUUAUCAUCCAAUACGAGGUUAGGGUGCUGUUAGGACAUCAGCCUGUAGGAGUGAGAGUUGCUACAUUCCAGCCAAUGGGAUGGCUGAGCCCGCCUCUCAGCUAGCGAGGGAGAUAGGAAGAGAUGCCAGUAGUAACUGAGUCAUCGUGGCGGUACGUUGAUGCUGCUGUUACGGGUGUAAAUUACCAACAGUGUAGAGUGUCACGAAAGAGUCGAAGUUGGAAGGCAUGCUAGAGUAAUGUGCCGUUCUCUUGCACUGGUAGGUCAGGUUUUAAUGUUGAGUUCAGAUGUUGAUUGACCGCGAAUACGGUGGAGCCCGACCCGUCGGCGAAGAUUCUGGAUAACCUCGGAGAAACUGUUCCAGUAAUGGAUGGCAAGCCAACCCCACUUGACCUAGAACCUGAUUGCAGCUAGGAGAUUGCAAUUUCAGCACGCUGCGUCCGAGAGCUUUGAUUUAGUUUCCCUUGGCCCAAGGGAUCCAAGGGAAACUAAAUCAAAGCUCUCGGACACAGCGACAACAAAGGACCUUUUUACCUUCAGAGGACGAGUCUGCGAGUGUUGUCUAAUUUCCACGACAAUUUGGCGUCUCCUGGAUGGGCUGUGCGAGUCUUUUCAGCUUUUCUGGACAACAAGCAAAACGGAGGACGCCCGUGGAAAAGUUUCACCCUAAAGCCUGUGUUGACACAGGCGUGUCCUUUGUUGUGCAGAGCAAUAGACCGAUGCAGCCUUACCACUGACUGGUAGGAAUCAUCAAGAAUUUAGAAUUAGAAUUUUAGAUUUUAAGUCAUUGUGUAUUGCUGUCUGUAUGGAAGGGAGUCAAUGAUAUAAGAAAUGUGUGUAUUACAUUGAGAGAAGUAUUACAUGGAGGCGAUUUCUUCUAAGAAGUUCCAGGAACUUUCCUCUGAACUUCGCCUUCGCUCUCUCAUUAUUCUAUCCUGCUUUAUUCUAUCCUGUAUUAACCAUCUUCCUGUAAUAAACCUUUUUAUCUUCA
This is a long non-coding RNA of Ictalurus furcatus (blue catfish), 1225 nucleotides long. RefSeq lists it as uncharacterized. Lineage: Eukaryota; Metazoa; Chordata; Actinopteri; Siluriformes; Ictaluridae. The record is from RefSeq and is a predicted model, not a curated record. The transcript is spliced from 2 exons.